UGCAAGUCGAGCGCGAAAGUACCUUCGGGUGCGAGUAGAGCGGCGAACGGGUGAGUAACAAGUGGACAACCUACCUUACGGUGGGGGAUAACGGCUGGAAACGGCCGCUAAUACCGCAUACGGUUGCAUCCCUGCGGGGGUGUAAAGAAAGGGGCUUUUGCUCCGCCGUUAGAUGGGUCCGCUUCCCAUUAGCUAGUUGGUGAGAUAACAGCUCACCAAGGCAACGAUGGGUAGCCGAGCUGAGAGGUUGAUCGGUCACACUGGAACUGAGACACGGUCCAGACACCUACGGGUGGCAGCAGUAGGGAAUAUUGCGCAAUGGGCGAAAGCCUGACGCAGCCAUGCCGCGUGGAUGAUGAAGGCCUUCGGGUCGUAAAGUCCUUUUCUGAGGGAAGAACAUCCAGGGGAGUAAAAAGCCCCUGGCCUGACGGUACCUCAGGAAUAAGCAACGGCUAACUCCGUGCCAGCAGCCGCGGUAAUACGGAGGUUGCGAGCGUUGUUCGGAUUUACUGGGCGUAAAGGGAGCGCAGGCGGCUAGGUUAGUCUGAAGUGAAAGCCCGGGGCUCAACCUCGGAAUUGCUUUGGAUACUGCCUAGCUUGAGUAUGCCAGAGGCGAGUGGAAUUCUAGGUGUAGCGGUGAAAUGCGUAGAUAUCUGGAGGAACAUCGGUGGCGAAAGCGGCUCGCUGGGACAAAACUGACGCUGANGCUCGAAAGCGUGGGUAGCGAACAGGAUUAGAUACCCUGGUAGUCCACGCCGUAAACGUUGUGCACUAGGUGUGGGAGGUAUCGACCCNUUNCGUGCCGCANCUAACGCAUUNAGUGCACCGCCUGGGNNNUACNAUCGCANGAUUGAAACUC
Molecule: ribosomal RNA, 859 nt
Filed under: uncultured bacterium
Lineage: Bacteria
Description: bacterial SSU rRNA
Rfam family: Bacterial small subunit ribosomal RNA
Source: RNAcentral